CGGAACGUGCCUAGUAAUGGGGAAUAACUAGCUGAAAGGUUAGCUAAUGCCGCAUACGACCUACGGGUGAAAGCAGGGGAUCUUCGGACCUUGCGUUAUUAGAGCGGCCGAUAUCUGAUUAGCUUGUUGGUGGGGUAAUGGCCUACCAAGGCGACGAUCAGUAGCUGGUCUGAGAGGACGAUCAGCCACACUGGAACUGAGACACGGUCCAGACUCCUACGGGAGGCAGCAGUGGGGAAUUUUGGACAAUGGGGGCAACCCUGAUCCAGCCAUUCCGCGUGAGUGAAGAAGGCCUUCGGGUUGUAAAGCUCUUUCGCAAGAGAAGAAAACUUGCUAUCUAAUAAAUAGUAAGUAUGACGGUAUCUUGACAAGAAGCACCGGCUAACUAC
This 389-nucleotide ribosomal RNA is filed under the name uncultured bacterium. Its description in RNAcentral is "bacterial SSU rRNA". It matches the Rfam family "Bacterial small subunit ribosomal RNA", at positions 119 to 504 of the family's 1533-position model. The record is from RNAcentral.